Molecule: transfer RNA, 65 nt
Filed under: Dipodomys ordii (Ord's kangaroo rat)
Lineage: Eukaryota; Metazoa; Chordata; Mammalia; Rodentia; Heteromyidae
Rfam family: tRNA
About the family: Transfer RNA (tRNA) molecules are approximately 80 nucleotides in length. Their secondary structure includes four short double-helical elements and three loops (D, anti-codon, and T loops).
Source: Rfam by way of RNAcentral
GGUGGCUCAGUGGUAGAGUACUUGCCUUGCAUGCAUGAGGUCCUGGGUUUGAUUCCUCAGUACCA